Molecule: long non-coding RNA, 182 nt
Organism: Octopus sinensis (East Asian common octopus)
Lineage: Eukaryota; Metazoa; Mollusca; Cephalopoda; Octopoda; Octopodidae
Exons: 3
Source: RefSeq, a predicted model, not a curated record
AGCCUACGGUACCAUGCUAUCUAUUCUUUUCAACUACACAAUACUUUCCUGAUUAUUUUGGCUGUGCCAUGGAGGAAAACAUUUUGUAACAGCUCUACUGGAAAUUCUAUUCCAAUUUCCUUUAUAUUCCUCUUGAUGCUUUCUGAUACUGUUCCGAAGGACCCAAAACCCCUACAAUAACC